GUGCCAUCCUGGUUAUUCUUCUCCGCACAUUCUCCAAGCAGCAGCCAGUAAUCUGUUGUAAAACUCUGGGAGAUUUUGCCUGAGGAAGAUGUGCAGGGCUAGAAGACAGACGCUGUUUCUCCUCAAAGCUCUAACAUUCAUUCGCAGAGGAGUAACUGUGUGUAGCAGAAGAUUGACGGUGAUCACAUCGUCUGGAGAAAAGAACUCGUUUCCAGAUUUAGAAAGCGACAAAGGUCUUCAGUCCCUCAACUAGUAGGAACUUCAGAAACCGAGCCCUGAUCAAGCCCAGCUCUGUUGCUCUGAGCCACUGGACCUGCAAGGACCUUGUGGGGACCAAGGUGGUUGCUCCUGGGAGGAUCCACAGGCCCUGGGGACAAGGGACAACACAUUAAUAUAUGAGAUGCAUUUCCCAAAAUGCUGCUGCCCUGGUACUGGGGUCAGAGCCAGAGAACUCGAUUUACAGAAAGUAACAUUUCCUAUUCACUUCAUUCUGUUGGCUAAA
Molecule: non-coding RNA, 502 nt
Organism: Microcebus murinus (gray mouse lemur)
Lineage: Eukaryota; Metazoa; Chordata; Mammalia; Primates; Cheirogaleidae
Source: RefSeq, a predicted model, not a curated record